AGAAAACAAAAUUAUUUGGCUAGCACUUGCUAUGUGUACAGAUUCUCCUACAAUGCUGAAAUUUGUAGGUAUUCAUAUCCAUAUAUGAUCUCAAGAGCUCUGUUUGCUGAUGCUGCUAGAGUAGCUAAUGGAGAAGUAAGCAAAGCAGGACCUCUGGUUGAGUAUGAGCGUAGAAUUGAAGCGGGUGAUCUUGUGGAUGGGGAUAAUUGUCAGUGUUAUGAAGGUUGCAUCGAGUCAUGUAUAGGCUACACUCCCCAAAGGCUUGUGCAUCACAGUUUGAGGCAUGCACUUCACAUA
Molecule: non-coding RNA, 297 nt
Organism: Camellia sinensis
Lineage: Eukaryota; Viridiplantae; Streptophyta; Magnoliopsida; Ericales; Theaceae
Source: RefSeq, a predicted model, not a curated record